CAAGCUGCGAUAAGUAAUGUGAAUUGCAGAACUCAGUGAAUCAUCGAGUCUUCGAACGCAUAUUGCGCCCCCUGGCACUCCGGGGGGCACGCCUGUCCGAGCGUCGUCAACCGUCCCCCAGGCUUCCCGUGUGGUGGCCUGGGCGUUGGGCCCUUCUUGCCCCUGUGCGGGCAGGUCCGAAACCCUACCAACCGACGUCCCUUGGAGCCCCGAGCGCAGCGGCUGUCCCAGCUCGAGUGGCCACCAGGGUCCGAUCGUUGGCGUACGUUGGAGCCUAGCCUGGCACCGAUCCCCUUCUGUUGACCUCGGAUCAGGUGGGAAUACCCGCUGAACUUAAGC
This 339-nucleotide unclassified non-coding RNA is filed under the name plant metagenome. Its description in RNAcentral is "partial contains 5.8S ribosomal RNA, internal transcribed spacer 2, and large subunit ribosomal RNA". The stretch from base 1 to 106 matches the Rfam family "5.8S ribosomal RNA", at positions 49 to 154 of the family's 154-position model. The record is from RNAcentral.